This 2454-nucleotide ribosomal RNA is filed under the name Salmonella enterica subsp. enterica serovar Typhimurium. RNAcentral's name for it is "partial 23S ribosomal RNA". It matches the Rfam family "Bacterial large subunit ribosomal RNA", at positions 580 to 2925 of the family's 2925-position model. The record is from RNAcentral. Lineage: Bacteria; Pseudomonadati; Pseudomonadota; Gammaproteobacteria; Enterobacterales; Enterobacteriaceae.
CAGGUUUACCUGUGUGACUGCGUACCUUUUGUAUAAUGGGUCAGCGACUUAUAUUCUGUAGCAAGGUUAACCGUAUAGGGGAGCCGGAGGGAAACCGAGUCUUAAUUGGGCGUUAAGUUGCAGGGUAUAGACCCGAAACCCGGUGAUCUAGCCAUGGGCAGGUUGAAGGUUGGGUAACACUAACUGGAGGACCGAACCGACUAAUGUUGAAAAAUUAGCGGAUGACCUGUGGCUGGGGGUGAAAGGCCAAUCAAACCGGGAGAUAGCUGGUUCUCCCCGAAAGCUAUUUAGGUAGCGCCUCGUGAAUUCAUCUCCGGGGGUAGAGCACUGUUUCGGCUAGGGGGCCAUCCCGGCUUACCAACCCGAUGCAAACUGCGAAUACCGGAGAAUGUUAUCACGGGAGACACACGGCGGGUGCUAACGUCCGUCGUGAAGAGGGAAACAACCCAGACCGCCAGCUAAGGUCCCAAAGUCAUGGUUAAGUGGGAAACGAUGUGGGAAGGCCCAGACAGCCAGGAUGUUGGCUUAGAAGCAGCCAUCAUUUAAAGAAAGCGUAAUAGCUCACUGGUCGAGUCGGCCUGCGCGGAAGAUGUAACGGGGCUAAACCAUGCACCGAAGCUGCGGCAGCGAACGUAUCACCCAAGACAACUUUACGGAGUUGACGAUUGACGGAGCGAAGCGACGUCAAAGCGUUCAUUAAAGUCGAGUUGGCUUAGGGAUACGUUCGUUGGGUAGGGGAGCGUUCUGUAAGCCUGUGAAGGUGUGUCGUGAGGCAUGCUGGAGGUAUCAGAAGUGCGAAUGCUGACAUAAGUAACGAUAAAGCGGGUGAAAAGCCCGCUCGCCGGAAGACCAAGGGUUCCUGUCCAACGUUAAUCGGGGCAGGGUGAGUCGACCCCUAAGGCGAGGCCGAAAGGCGUAGUCGAUGGGAAACGGGUUAAUAUUCCCGUACUUGGUGUUACUGCGAAGGGGGGACGGAGAAGGCUAUGUUGGCCGGGCGACGGUUGUCCCGGUUUAAGCGUGUAGGUGUGUGUUCCAGGUAAAUCCGGUUCACUUUAACACUGAGGCGUGACGACGAGGCACUACGGUGCUGAAGCAACAAAUGCCCUGCUUCCAGGAAAAGCCUCUAAGCAUCAGGUAACAUCAAAUCGUACCCCAAACCGACACAGGUGGUCAGGUAGAGAAUACCAAGGCGCUUGAGAGAACUCGGGUGAAGGAACUAGGCAAAAUGGUGCCGUAACUUCGGGAGAAGGCACGCUGACACGUAGGUGAAGUGAUUUACUCAUGGAGCUGAAGUCAGUCGAAGAUACCAGCUGGCUGCAACUGUUUAUUAAAAACACAGCACUGUGCAAACACGAAAGUGGACGUAUACGGUGUGACGCCUGCCCGGUGCCGGAAGGUUAAUUGAUGGGGUCAGCGCAAGCGAAGCUCCUGAUCGAAGCCCCGGUAAACGGCGGCCGUAACUAUAACGGUCCUAAGGUAGCGAAAUUCCUUGUCGGGUAAGUUCCGACCUGCACGAAUGGCGUAAUGAUGGCCAGGCUGUCUCCACCCGAGACUCAGUGAAAUUGAACUCGCUGUGAAGAUGCAGUGUACCCGCGGCAAGACGGAAAGACCCCGUGAACCUUUACUAUAGCUUGACACUGAACAUUGAGCCUUGAUGUGUAGGAUAGGUGGGAGGCUUUGAAGUGUGGACGCCAGUCUGCAUGGAGCCGACCUUGAAAUACCACCCUUUAAUGUUUGAUGUUCUAACGUGGACCCGUAAUCCGGGUUGCGGACAGUGUCUGGUGGGUAGUUUGACUGGGGCGGUCUCCUCCUAAAGAGUAACGGAGGAGCACGAAGGUUGGCUAAUCCUGGUCGGACAUCAGGAGGUUAGUGCAAUGGCAUAAGCCAGCUUGACUGCGAGCGUGACGGCGCGAGCAGGUGCGAAAGCAGGUCAUAGUGAUCCGGUGGUUCUGAAUGGAAGGGCCAUCGCUCAACGGAUAAAAGGUACUCCGGGGAUAACAGGCUGAUACCGCCCAAGAGUUCAUAUCGACGGCGGUGUUUGGCACCUCGAUGUCGGCUCAUCACAUCCUGGGGCUGAAGUAGGUCCCAAGGGUAUGGCUGUUCGCCAUUUAAAGUGGUACGCGAGCUGGGUUUAGAACGUCGUGAGACAGUUCGGUCCCUAUCUGCCGUGGGCGCUGGAGAACUGAGGGGGGCUGCUCCUAGUACGAGAGGACCGGAGUGGACGCAUCACUGGUGUUCGGGUUGUCAUGCCAAUGGCACUGCCCGGUAGCUAAAUGCGGAAGAGAUAAGUGCUGAAAGCAUCUAAGCACGAAACUUGCCCCGAGAUGAGUUCUCCCUGAGACUUAGAGUCUCCUGAAGGAACGUUGAAGACGACGACGUUGAUAGGCCGGGUGUGUAAGCGCAGCGAUGCGUUGAGCUAACCGGUACUAAUGAACCGUGAGGCUUAACCUUACA